CGAGCGUCCUGCGCCGUGCGUGACUCUAACGCAACACGGCAGUUACGUCGCAAUAACUAGACUUAUCUCCACUGCGCUGCGAUAAGUCAGCGCUUAUUGACUCCUUACUGCCGUGUAGCGUUACAAACCGCCACGGCCCCAAACGAUAAUCCCAAUCUCUCAAACCGACAAUAGCCUCCACUCAUGCCUCAAGCGGCCUAGCAACUCAUUCGUGGCCCUCAGCGGCCUCCUACCUCCGGCCUCGCAGCUCCCGAUACCCCACCAAGUCCGCCGUGCCCGCCCCAGCCCGCCCGUGUUGAGGUUGCACUAGUGGCCGAAAGUGCUGCCAGAGUUUGGUAGUAGUCCUCAACGCGGGGAGGUCAUGGUGCGGGCGACGGCAGCCCUGGUGGCUGGGCUUGAUUGGCUUCGCGUAUGCAGCUCUUCUCGCAAAGCGCUCGGCCCAACGGCCGGUCACGCAAACCAAGGUGCGGUCGGCGGUGAUGGCGGCGGCGUUCGUGCCCUUGCGCUACCGAAAUCAUGUGUCUCGAACACCGCGGAGCGCUCCGCCCAUCGCCUUGCUUGCGCACGAACGUACGGUCCUAGUUGCACACUCGACAGCGGUCGAUAGAACGAGCUUCGUGCUUGGGGAUAUUGGCUGCACGAGCAGCACCAUCACAUGGGGAUGAGCGCCGCCGGAGGCGCCGCCGGCACCUGCUGCAGGCGGCGCAGGGCGACGCCAACGCGGGGCCUGACAGCGCCACACUCCGUCGGUCAUGGGCGGUCAAUGGUCACUACCAGAAGACAAGCAGCAAUAGGAACACGACUGGCGUUGCAAGGGCCAUGAUACCAGACUCACAAACGUAUCAGGUGCACCAAUGGCCACGACAGAAACACACAUGCAUUGUCCCGCGUGCGCCAGCCACGCAGACGACGCCGGGGCGUUACAGGGAAACACAUGCAUCCUUGUUCAGGUGUGUGGCUUCUGGGCAGCUGUGGCCGUCCGUGUGCCUAGGAAAGGUAACAGUGCGUGUUGGCACGUGUUGGCACGAAGCACUGGAGACCUCGCUCGGUACUCUCUACCGGCCCCCAGGGCCAUGCCAUAACACGUGUUGACGUUGUAGGCUGCUCGGAACAACCUUGGGAAUAAUAACAACUUCGUGACUCGAAGCUGGGACAGACUAGCCAACAUGAGCCACGCAGGAGAAGGCGCGAGGUGCAACACUAGAGCGGUUUUACGUACGCGAGUCACGCGCGGCAACCUGCCCUUCACCCGCGCCGUCGUGGUGUAGGAUGCGGGCAGCCAUGCCCAGCCGUGCAGCAUGGCCACGAACACUAAUUUCUUUCUUGCUAGCUAGGUGCCAUGCUUGAGAUUUGCAGUGUCUUGCAUAAGAGUCACUACCAAUCAAGCAGUAGGUACACCCAUAGAUAGCAUCACCCCGGCGGACGCAGGACAGGCGCGCACGUGAAUGCCUCCAAACGCCGCGGGGAUGCAUGCACACAAUGUCCCGUACGUGCCGAUACCGUACGCCACGGCGGCUGUGGGGUGUACCGUAAUAGCAGGGAGGGCAACAUGAAGGGUAACACCUCAGCAACCCCAGCAAGGCUGGCCUGGUCGAGCGGCGCGGAGGGGUGAAGGAUACCCGGCACGCGUGGAACACGCAAUGUAUCUAUAGUGAUAGAAGGCGUAGUGAUGGGAGGAAAUAAGGAGCACUCGGGGCCGCGAUGGCGGGUUGGAUGCGCCACGGGCCCCGGCCCAGCCAAAGGGAGCGAACGCCGGGCGGAGCCGGUGGGUGAGCGACUCGAGGGACGUGCCAGUAGUGAACCCAUCGCAGUGGCGGAUGGGUCAUCCAAUGUGAGAGAUGAUACAGCCACGCCGGCAGCCAAACUCCGCACUCGCCCACGUACGGGCACGUUGUGGUACUGCUGUGAGGAGGCCGGGCUGAGUUGGGAUGCCUGCCGACUGCCAAGCCCGCAGGGCACUGUCGGCCUGGCUACCCACAUGUGAGCCUGUGUCGCCAUACGCUCUUAAUAGUAAUGACAUAUAGCACACUGCUCCUAGCACUUCGGUGAUAAGUAAUUGCCCCGCCGGGUGAAGUAAGGCCGGGGCUGAAAGGAACCAAGGCUGGUUCCCUAGGCGUCCACUGGCGAGUGGGCAGGCGACACAUUCAGUUGGCAUUGACGUGCAGGGGUUCCUGUUGACGUGCGUUGCGGAACUAAUGCGUACGUUGGCUUGGGUCUCUGGGUUCAUGAGGCAUUGACAGAACACGCUGCCCCUGCUAUGGUUCUGACCAAGGAACAUGUAUGCAUACAUGUCCUGAAGGAUUGGCAGGGAGCGUGCCGCACAGCACGCAAGCCGCGUGACUACGGUAAGCAUGACGCCAUAACGUGACACAGAUGCCGGGCAUGCCAUACAGGCGGCCAACGCUACGGCACAAGCCAGCUUGACGCGUCCACAGAUACAUAUGCGUCAUGCGGUAUUGUUAUUGGCAAUAGCAUGCUGGCCGAACUGCACAAAACUCCACAAUUCGGCACUUGGGCCUAGCGCACACAUCGAAUGCAUAUAGGUUGGCUUGGGGUGCGUCAGCCAAACUACAAUGGUGAUGCCGCGUGAUAGUAUGAUGUGCGUGCGGACCUCAAGACGUACAGGGUGACGCAUGAUCACGUAAGCCCGCUCCGUUGUCAACACGAAGCAAUAGCGAGGCGCAGGCUUGCCGUGCACGGCACACUCAAGGCGUAUUGCGACAGGGCACGCAGCAGGGCACGCAACAAGUCGAAGCGUCCAUAACGACAGGGCAGGCAGCAUAAUUGCAUGCGGCACACGGGCAAUAUCGCAAGACACAUGAUGCGAGGCGCAAAGCCUGUUGCUGGCGGCACACACGCCGUAUCCGAACGUGGCGCUCAGACCACACAUUGUCCACAACGCAAAGGCAUGUACAACGAAGGCACGUAAGCAUUUCAAUGCCGUCUAUAAUCCACAACGCAAGAGUGUGGAGCCCGUUGCUUGCGGCACACAGGUCGUAUCAUAAGGGCACGUAUGCCAUCUAUUACCCAAAAGCAAGGGUGAGCUGUUGCUUGCGGCACACAGGUCACAUCAUACGGGCACGUAUGCCGUGAAUUGUCCAUAAAACAAGGGUGCAGAGCCCGUUGCUUGCGGCGCACAGGCCGUAUCAUAAGAACACGUACGCGGCGCAUUGUCCAUGAAGCAAGGGCGCGGAGCCCGUUGCCUGCGGCACACAGGCCGUAUCAUGAGGGCACGUACGCCGUGAAGUGUCCAUGAAGCAAGGGCGCGGAGCCCGUUGCCUGCGGCGCACAGGCCGUAUUAUGAGGGCACGUACGCCGUAAAUUGUCCAUGUAGCAAGGGCGCGGAGCCCGUUGCUUGCGGCGCACAGGCCGUAUCGUAGGGGCACGUAUGCCGUCCAUUGUCCGUGAAGCAAGGGCGCGGAGCCCGUUGCCUGCGGCACACAGGCCGUAUCAUAAGGGCACGUAUGCCGUCCAUUGUCCAUAAAGCAAGGGCGCGGAGCCCGUUGCUUGCGGCGCACAGGCCGUAUCAUAAGGGCACGUAUGCCGUCCAUUGUCCAUAAAGCAAGGGCGCGGAGCCCAUUGCUUGCGGCACACAGGCCGUAUCAUAAGGGCACGUAUGCCGUCCAUUGUCCAUAAAGCAAGGGCGCGGAGCCCGUUGCUUGCGGCGCACAGGCCGUAUCAUAAGGGCACGUAUGCCGUCCAUUGUCCAUAAAGCAAGGGCGCGGAGCCCAUUGCUUGCGGCACACAGGCCGUAUCAUAAGGGCACGUAUGCCAUCCAUUGUCCAUAAGGCAAGGGCGCAAAGCCCGUUGCUUGCGGCGCACAGGCCGGAUCCCAACGGCACACACGCCCUUUCCCCAAGGGCACGCGGGCCCUGCGGCCUGGAUAGGCAGACAGGAGAAGUACCGCGCCAAAAGCCCUGAGGUCUUGGGGAGGUGGGGGUGGCACGAUGGAAGAUGAAAGGUAUUGCACAAAGCUGUGAACUGUAAAGCGACGGGUAGACACGAAGGCACGGCAAGCAGGACCGCGCAUGGCAAGCAAGUAGCCCGCCCGCACAGCUGUGCAUGCCCUUUUGCUUUCAGUGACUUGCCGAACGCCUUGUCCGCAACGCUUCGCGCGCCUUUGCUCCGCUUGAAAGCUCCGCUCUGCUCCGAUUUGCUCCCGAAUGCGGCCCCCGAACCAAAGCGUGGUCCAAAGCGCCAGAGAAGCGUCGAAGGGCAUUCCCUUACGAUCAGAGAGCGAGCGUGAUCAAGCUAAGGGGUUCCAUUGAGCAGGAUCGCGCAACAAAGCGCUGCAACUCCGUCUGAGUGUAUAUUAAACGCUUAUUCGGUCCAGACAUGGUAAAGUAUAGUUAGAACCAGGUAUAGGAUUGCAAAGAAAGUCCAGAAAUGUAGGGAACGUUUAAGUGCGACACACUGAGGUCACCGUCCCGGCAGAGGGACGAUCCGAAAUACAGUACAGAAGCACAACGGCAGAUAAGGCGCCGUGUGCUCCUGACGCGUACAAGACCCAGCUCGGUUCGGCCCCAUGCACAGGCACGUACCCGAGCGUCCUGCGCCGUGCGUGACUCUAACGCAACACGGCAGUUACGUCGCAAUAACUAGACUUAUCUCCACUGCGCUGCGAUAAGUCAGCGCUUAUUGACUCCUUACUGCCGUGUAGCGUUACAAACCGCCACGGCCCCAAACGAUAAUCCCAAUCUCUCAAACCGACAAUAGCCUCCACUCAUGCCUCAAGCGGCCUAGCAACUCAUUCGUGGCCCUCAGCGGCCUCCUACCUCCGGCCUCGCAGCUCCCGAUACCCCACCAAGUCCGCCGUGCCCGCCCCAGCCCGCCCGUGUUGAGGUUGCACUAGUGGCCGAAAGUGCUGCCAGUACUGGGUGUGUCGC
Molecule: long non-coding RNA, 4886 nt
Filed under: Chlamydomonas reinhardtii
Lineage: Eukaryota; Viridiplantae; Chlorophyta; Chlorophyceae; Chlamydomonadales; Chlamydomonadaceae
Description: long non-coding RNA (CREI_LNC000651)
Source: RNAcentral